This 309-nucleotide ribosomal RNA is filed under the name uncultured bacterium. RNAcentral's name for it is "partial 16S ribosomal RNA". It matches the Rfam family "Bacterial small subunit ribosomal RNA", at positions 504 to 807 of the family's 1533-position model. The record is from RNAcentral.
AGAGACAGCAGCAGCCGCGGUAAUACGAAGGGUGCAAGCGUUAAUCGGAAUUACUGGGCGUAAAGCGUGCGUAGGCGGUUUGUUAAGUCUGCUGUGAAAUCCCCGGGCUCAACCUGGGAAUGGCAGUGGAUACUGGCAAGCUAGAGUGUGUCAGAGGAUGGUGGAAUUCCCGGUGUAGCGGUGAAAUGCGUAGAGAUCGGGAGGAACAUCAGUGGCGAAGGCGGCCAUCUGGGACAACACUGACGCUGAGGCACGAAAGCGUGGGGAGCAAACAGGAUUAGAUACCCGCGUAGUCCCUGUCUCUUAUAC